GAUGAUAGCAUUGGCUCACCUGGGUUUAAAGCUGUUUACCAAGGUAUGAUGAGAAUACACUUCAGAGGGUUGGAAGUUAGCAUUCCAACAGAGGGCAGAGACCAUUCUGUGUUGGUUAGGUAGAAGUAAAAUCAACAAGUCAAACAAUGCUGAUAAAUAGGAAUCAUCAUGGGAACUUCCUUAAAGUCUACUAACACUCGCUUUUGUGAAUGAGAAUGUUUAACUUCUGAAAACUCGGCCUGCCGUGAUAUGUGCUCUGAUUAUCCCAAAAUAAAGAGUGAGGUGAAGUAUUAGGUGUAAGCCAGGAAAUGUGGGCAUAUGUGGGGAUCUUUUGACCAUAUCAUAUUGCCUGGUGUUUCUCAAAACCUUCUUUUAUGUGAGCAAACAUAGAAAAGACAAUAUAAUGAAUCUGAAAAGACUUACAAUUAUAAAUUUUUAUGAGCCAAAUUCAAAUAUUUGAAAUGAAAGCCCUGUGCCUGUCAUUGUUUUUGAGCUAGUUUACAACUUUACAAGUUAUAGAAAACUGAUAGCAAUGCAAACAAUUUCUGAACCAUUGAAAUGCAAAUGAAUUUCCUGUGAAAGAGAUCCCAUUAAUUAUUGUCCUGUGGAUAUUGAUUACUUUUAAAUGGAUUAGCAAAUUUAUUUCAGUAUUUCUGAUUGUCUCCACAUGACCUGCAUUUGCUGCUGCCUUUGGUAGAAUCUAAAAUCAUCAGUGAAAUACCAGACACUUCCCGACAGGGCAAAUUGCAGUAAAUUCAUCUCAGCAGCAUGGAGAUACACAUCAUGAGGUUUAUGGUACCAGGAAUAGGAGAGGAGCCUCGUGCCCAAACUGCAUCCUUGACUAUGAAGAGACAUAAGUAGUCCCAAUAAAAGGUAAACAUUCUUCUAUGUGUCAUAUUUCACAGUGAAUGACCACACCACAUUAAUUAUAAUUCCAUUUUACCCUAAAAUUCAAUGUCAUGUGUUAUCUUUGACAAAAGAAUAGUCCAAAGGCAAAAAGGUAAUUAAAACCAGUAACUAAUACAACAUUUGAGGAUUUUUAAAAAUUAAGAGAUUAUAACAGUAGAAGACAUUCUAAAAAUGCAUAUUUCCAGAGUACUAUAUUAAGCUAACAGUUGAAGACAAAGUGCAAAUCACUUAUAAAAGUGACCUUUAUGCAUAUACAUAAUUUUAUAUUAUUUGACUCAAAGCAUAGUUGUUCAUAAAUUAUAUUAUCAGAAAACAGCCCGGGCAGGGGCGCUGACACCUGUAAUCAUAGUGCUUUGGGAGACCAAGGCAGGCGGAUCACUUAAGGUCAGGAGUUCCCGACCAGCCUGGCCAACAUGGUGAAAGCCCUAUCUCUCUUCAAAAUACAAAAAAAAAAAAAAAAAAAAAAAUUAGCUGUUUGUGGAGGGUGGGCACCUGUAAUCCCAGAUACACAGGAGGCUGAGGCAGAAGAAUCGCUUGAACUCGGGUAGUGGAGCUUGCAGUGAGCCAAGAUCGUGCCACUGCACUCCAGCCUAGGCAACAGAGUGAGAGUCCAUCUUAAAAAAAGAAAA
This 1538-nucleotide long non-coding RNA is filed under the name Pan troglodytes (chimpanzee). RNAcentral's name for it is "long non-coding RNA NONPTRT016923". Lineage: Eukaryota; Metazoa; Chordata; Mammalia; Primates; Hominidae. The record is from RNAcentral.